Molecule: microRNA precursor, 60 nt
Filed under: Ptychodera flava
Lineage: Eukaryota; Metazoa; Hemichordata; Enteropneusta; Ptychoderidae
Description: Pfl-Mir-4838_pre stem-loop
Source: RNAcentral
AACUGGUAACAGUAGGAACGCCAGAUAGUUGUGUUUUCUGCUCCUGCUGCUAUCAGUAGU